CCCUUUCUUUUACUCGAACAGUCCGCAAUGAAACGGGUCAGCGAGGUCUUGCUGGGGUCAGCUCAUCUCUGAACGGUUGUGUAGUGUGGGACCCACUGUCGCCAGUCCAACUGACGAUGGACUGGAGGGUGAGAUCGCAGCGAGUCGUGUAGUGUGAACCGUACAGUGAUCCGACAACUUCCAAUGAUGUGUAUUCUGAACUUGACAAUGGUUUCCAGCCUUAAAAGACCUCUGCCCUCUGCCGACGAAACAGCCGCCCAGCUCUCCUCAGCACCUUGCUCACGCUGGGUAACAGUUCGUCUGCGAAGGCCCGCAGUCGGGGUGUCUUCGUGGAGCCGCUGCGUCUCUGAUUUUGCCUGCGUCAUCGGGCAGUUAACGACCCGACAGGCUUCCAGGGGAACCUUGAACUUGUCCCCGAACAUCCUGAGACACUUCACGUACUGAGAUUGUGGCGCUGAGAAAUUUCCCUAUCAGCAGGUUGAGGUGUUCACCAUUCAGUAUAUUUCUGAUGGCCUCACCACCACAUCAUCAUCAGCAGCAUGAUCAUCAUCAUCAUCGUCAUCAUCCUCGUCGUCAUCAUCAUCAGAGCCAUUAUCUGGAUUGCUGCUGUCUCCAGCAUCUUUAUAGCAUCCGCCAAAGUCGAUUUUGACGAAGGAUCUCUCUAAGAGAUGAAGAGGGAGAGUGAAAUGAAAGAACAUAUGUGAUUAUGUUGUUGCUGUGAAAACAAAAAAAGCAAAUAAAAC
Molecule: long non-coding RNA, 743 nt
Organism: Scophthalmus maximus (turbot)
Lineage: Eukaryota; Metazoa; Chordata; Actinopteri; Pleuronectiformes; Scophthalmidae
Exons: 4
Source: RefSeq, a predicted model, not a curated record